AAUGAACGCUAGCGGCAGGCUUAAUACAUGCAAGUCAAGGGGGUAGCAAUACAACCGGCGCACGGGUGAGUAACGCGUACACAACAUACCAUAUACUGGAGUAUAGCUUUGGGAAACUGAAGGUAAUCCUCCAUAACAUUGCGAGAGGGCAUCUGAUUGCAAUUAAAGUUUCGGCGGUAUAUGAUUGGUGUGCGUUUGAUUAGCUAGUUGGUAGGGUAACGGCCUACCAAGGCGACGAUCAAUAGCUGGCGUGAGAGCGCGACCAGCCACACUGGAACUGAGACACGGUCCAGACUCCUACGGGAGGCAGCAGUAGGGAAUAUUGGACAAUGGAGGAAACUCUGAUCCAGCCAUGCCGCGUGAUAGAUGAAGGCCCUCUGGGUUGUAAAUAUCUUUUAUCUGGGAAGAAACACUCCUAUUCUUAGGAACUUGACGGUACCAGAGGAAUAAGCACCGGCUAACUCCGUGCCAGCAGCCGCGGUAAAGUACAG
This 491-nucleotide ribosomal RNA is filed under the name uncultured bacterium. RNAcentral describes it as "bacterial SSU rRNA". It matches the Rfam family "Bacterial small subunit ribosomal RNA", at positions 29 to 528 of the family's 1533-position model. The record is from RNAcentral.